AACGAACGCUGGCGGCAUGCCUAACACAUGCAAGUCGAACGAGAUCUUCGGAUCUAGUGGCGCACGGGUGCGUAACGCGUGGGAAUCUGCCCUUGGGUACGGAAUAACUCAGAGAAAUUUGUGCUAAUACCGUAUAAUGUCUUCGGACCAAGGAUUUAUCGCCCAAGGAUGAGCCCGCGUAGGAUUAGCUAGUUGGUGAGGUAAAAGCUCACCAAGGCGACGAUCCUUAGCUGGCUGAGAGGAUGAUCAGCCACACUGGGACUGAGACACGGCCCAGACUCCUACGGGAGGCAGCAGUGGGGAAUAUUGGACAAUGGGCGAAAGCCUGAUCCAGCAAUGCCGCGUGAGUGAUGAAGGCCCUAGGGUUGUAAAGCUCUUUUACCCGGGAUGAUAAUGACAGUACCGGGAGAAUAAGCUCCGGCUAACUUCGUGCCAGCAGCCGCGGUAAGGUGACGCUCU
RNAcentral lists this ribosomal RNA (459 nucleotides) under uncultured bacterium. Its description in RNAcentral is "bacterial SSU rRNA". It matches the Rfam family "Bacterial small subunit ribosomal RNA", at positions 29 to 536 of the family's 1533-position model. The record is from RNAcentral.